This 468-nucleotide ribosomal RNA is filed under the name uncultured bacterium. RNAcentral's name for it is "partial 16S ribosomal RNA". It matches the Rfam family "Bacterial small subunit ribosomal RNA", at positions 28 to 507 of the family's 1533-position model. The record is from RNAcentral.
GAUGAACGCUGGCGGCGUGCUUAACACAUGCAAGUCGAACGGAAAGGCCCUGCUUUUGUUGGUUGCUCGAUUGGCGAACGGGUGAGUAACACGUGAGUAACCUGCCCUUGUCUGUCUGAUAACUUCAGGAAACUCGGGCUAAUACCGGAGAGGAGCUCCUGCUCCAUAGUGUGGGUUGGAAAGUUUCGGUGUUUGGGGAUAGUCUCGCGGCUUAUCAGCUGGUUUGUGGGGUAGUGGCUUACCAGGGCUUUGACGGGUAGCCUGCCUGAGAGGGUGACCAGCCACAAUAGGACUGAGAUACGGACCAGAAUGCAACGGGAGGCAGCAGUCGGGAAUCUUGCACAAUGGGGGGACGCCUGAUGAAGCAACGCCGCGUGCGGAAUGCUGGCCUACGGGUUGUGAACAGAUUUCGACGGUACCGAAGACUGCGUGACGGUACUGGGUCAAGAAGCCACGGCUAACUACGUG